AUAUAUAUAUAUAGUCCGGCUAUGGUGCUUGUAAAAGCACAAACAUUUGGUACUUGUAAGUGUUUUACCAUUAGAUUUACGUUUUUGAUCAUUUUCAACUGUUAGAUUAUACUAUUCAACCAACUACCCACUCAAUCUUAGGGGGCCCACAUCAUCAUAACCGCACAUUCCUUAAUCUAAGGACCGAAAACUUACAAGUACCAAUAACUUAGUAUUUUUAAAAACAUAGGAGCUCAAUUCUAUUUAUAUAUUAGGCCCACUACAAAUAAUUAAUUCAUAUCUACAUAAAGGAAGGAUGUGAGAUAUGUAUUUAUUUAUUAAAACUUGUUAAAUAAAAAAAUAUAUAUACAAAUAUUAUUCUCUAUUAGUUUAAGUCUUUAGAAAAUAAUGAUUGUUUUUUAUUAUUUUAAUAUGAUAUCAGAGUAAAGGGGUCCUGAGUUCGAAUCAUGUCAGAUUUCUAAUAUAAUUAAUUUUUUUUCAUUUAAUUCAUAUCUACGUUAUGAAUCUAUUAAAAAGUUUCGAGCUCAGACAUGAAAAGUUGUGCCUAUCAGUUUAAGUUUUUGAAGAAUAAUGAUCGUUUCGCAUUAUUUAACAAAGCUCGUGUAAUCCAACAGCUUAAACAUUGUAUAGAUGUGAAUA
This 639-nucleotide long non-coding RNA is filed under the name Ananas comosus (pineapple). RNAcentral's name for it is "long non-coding RNA (ACOM_LNC025459)". The record is from RNAcentral. Lineage: Eukaryota; Viridiplantae; Streptophyta; Magnoliopsida; Poales; Bromeliaceae.